This is a small nuclear RNA of Oryctolagus cuniculus (rabbit), 174 nucleotides long. Its record names the gene U2. It matches the Rfam family "U2 spliceosomal RNA". From Rfam's summary of the family: U2 is a small nuclear RNA (snRNA) component of the spliceosome (involved in pre-mRNA splicing). Complementary binding between U2 snRNA (in an area lying towards the 5' end but 3' to hairpin I) and the branchpoint sequence (BPS) of the intron results the bulging out of an unpaired adenosine, on the BPS, which initiates a nucleophilic attack at the intronic 5' splice site, thus starting the first of two transesterification reactions that mediate splicing. The record is from Ensembl. Lineage: Eukaryota; Metazoa; Chordata; Mammalia; Lagomorpha; Leporidae.
AGCGCUUCUCGGCCUUUUGGCUAAGAUCAAGUGUAGUAUCUGUUCUUAUCAGUUUAAUAUCUGAUGCGUCCUCUAUCCGAGGACAAAAAACAAACAAACAAACAAAAAGAAUGAGAAGAAAAAAGUCUCGAGGAUUUUCUGUUUUACCUUUCUGCAGUAUAUUUCUAGGUUUUG